Molecule: ribosomal RNA, 669 nt
Filed under: Triticum aestivum (bread wheat)
Lineage: Eukaryota; Viridiplantae; Streptophyta; Magnoliopsida; Poales; Poaceae
Description: partial small subunit ribosomal RNA
Source: RNAcentral
AUGCUCCCUCGGGAUCACCGGGGAUGGAUGCAACUCCUCGCAAUGGACGUGGAUGCCGAUGCUUCCCCAGGACAACGGAUGCAUCUUGAGUUCGGGCACACCGCGACAACCGACAUUCAUGGUGGAGGCGGACGACAGCGGUCGCGCCCACACCGGCGGCCUCAUCGACGUGUUGCCAGUGGCGGCAGUCAAAGCAGCGCGAGGAGGCGUCACCUUAACGGGGAGCUUGGGAGGAGCACGGGUGACCACUGCUCUCGUGGGGAUCCAGAUUCAGAUCCCGCACACACACCAGUUGAUACAGCCACGCCUGGUCCUACUACCAUGCAUGCGGUUGGAUUAAUGGUGCAAAAGUGUGUUGUGUUCAACCAUGACUUAAGCCAAGCUUCGUUUGAGACCCACAAGGAGGAAAGGUUUAAAUUGCUUUUGUAUUUCUUGUUGAGAUCAACAAGCCCGCAACAUGAGGAGUUCCAUGCGUACGUGCUACGAGAAGAUAAGAAGAUGAGCUGGUUUGAAAGGAACAAAAUCGAUAUAUAUUUCUUGUUUUAUUUCUUACCAUGCAAGGAGUACAACACGAUGGUUAUGAGAACCUAUACGUGUGAUCUGCUUUCCUUGAAGGAAUCCGGUUGGGGCCCACCUGGCAAACUAGAUGUAAUGCACCAACUUUAUUAG